This 503-nucleotide ribosomal RNA is filed under the name uncultured bacterium. RNAcentral describes it as "bacterial SSU rRNA". It matches the Rfam family "Bacterial small subunit ribosomal RNA", at positions 1 to 507 of the family's 1533-position model. The record is from RNAcentral.
ACGAGUUUGAUCAUGGCUCAGAUUGAACGCUGGCGGCAUGCCUUACACAUGCAAGUCGAACGGUAACAGCACUUCGGUGGCUGACGAGUGGCGAACGGGUGAGUAAUACAUCGGAACGUGCCCAGUCGUGGGGGAUAACGUAGCGAAAGCUACGCUAAUACCGCAUACGAUCUACGGAUGAAAGCGGGGGAUCGCAAGACCUCGCGCGAUUGGAGCGGCCGAUGGCAGAUUAGGUAGUUGGUGGGGUAAAGGCUCACCAAGCCUUCGAUCUGUAGCUGGUCUGAGAGGACGACCAGCCACACUGGGACUGAGACACGGCCCAGACUCCUACGGGAGGCAGCAGUGGGGAAUUUUGGACAAUGGGCGAAAGCCUGAUCCAGCCAUUCCGCGUGCAGGAUGAAGGCCCUCGGGUUGUAAACUGCUUUUGUACGGAACGAAACGGCCUUUUCUAAUACAGAGGGCUAAUGACGGUACCGUAAGAAUAAGCACCGGCUAACUACGUG